RNAcentral lists this ribosomal RNA (485 nucleotides) under uncultured bacterium. RNAcentral describes it as "partial 16S ribosomal RNA". It matches the Rfam family "Bacterial small subunit ribosomal RNA", at positions 28 to 523 of the family's 1533-position model. The record is from RNAcentral.
GACGAACGCUGGCGGCGUGCUUAACACAUGCAAGUCGAACGGUGAAGCUCCAAGCUUGCUUGGGGUGGAUCAGUGGCGAACGGGUGAGUAACACGUGAGCAACCUGCCCCGGACUCUGGAAUAAGCGCUGGAAACGGCGUCUAAUACUGGAUAUGACAUCUGGCUGCCUGGCUGGGUGUGGAAAGUUUUUCGGUCCGGGAUGGGCUCGCGGCCUAGCAGCUUGUUGGUGAGGUAAUGGCUUACCAAGGCGACGACGGGUAGCCGGCCUGAGAGGGCGACCGGCCACACUGGGACUGAGACACGGCCCAGACUCCUACGGGAGGCAGCAGUGGGGAAUAUUGCAUAAUGGGCGAAAGCCUGAUGCAGCGACGCCGCGUGAGGGAUGACGGCCUUCGGGUUGUAAACCUCUUUCAGCAGGGAAGAAGCUUUUGUGACGGUACCCGCAGAAGAAGUCCCGGCUAAAUACGUGCCAGCAGCCGCCGUAA